This 454-nucleotide ribosomal RNA is filed under the name uncultured bacterium. RNAcentral's name for it is "partial 16S ribosomal RNA". It matches the Rfam family "Bacterial small subunit ribosomal RNA", at positions 28 to 507 of the family's 1533-position model. The record is from RNAcentral.
GAUGAACGCUGCCAGAAUGCUUAACACAUGCAAGUCUACUUGAACUUCGGUUUGGGUGGCGGACGGGUGAGUAACGCGUAAAGAACUUGCCUCACAGUUAGGGACAACAUUUGGAAACGAAUGCUAAUACCUGAUAUUAUGAUUUUAGGGCAUCCUAAAAUUAUGAAAGCUAUAUGCGCUGUGAGAGAGCUUUGCGUCCCAUUAGCUAGUUGGAGAGGUAACGGCUCACCAAGGCGAUGAUGGGUAGCCGGCCUGAGAGGGUGAACGGCCACAAGGGGACUGAGACACGGCCCUUACUCCUACGGGAGGCAGCAGUGGGGAAUAUUGGACAAUGGACCAAAAGUCUGAUACAGCAAUUCUGUGUGCACGAUGACGUUUUUCGGAAUGUAAAGUGCUUUCAGUUGGGAAGAAAAAAAUGACGGUACCAACAGAAGAAGUGACGGCUAAAUACGUG